This 492-nucleotide ribosomal RNA is filed under the name uncultured bacterium. Its description in RNAcentral is "partial 16S ribosomal RNA". It matches the Rfam family "Bacterial small subunit ribosomal RNA", at positions 29 to 507 of the family's 1533-position model. The record is from RNAcentral.
AGUGAACGCUGGCGGUAGGCCUAACACAUGCAAGUCGAACGGCAGCACAUUAAGAGCUUGCUCUUACGGGUGGCGAGUGGCGGACGCGUGAGGAAUACAUCGGAAUCUACUUUUUCGUGGGGGGUAACGAAGGGAAACUUACGCUAAUACCGCAUACGACCUACGGGUGAAAGCAGGCGCUCUUCGGACCUUGCGCGAUUGAAUGAGCCGAUGUCGGAUUAGCUAGUUGGCGGGGUAAAGGCCCACCAAGGCGACGAUCCGUAGCUGGUCUGAGAGGAUGAUCAGCCACACUGGAACUGAGACACGGUCCAGACUCCUACGGGAGGCAGCAGUGGGGAAUAUUGGACAAUGGGCGCAAGCCUGAUCCAGCAAUACCGCGUGGGUGAAGAAGGCCUUCGGGUUGUAAAGCCCUUUUGUUGGGAAAGAAAAGCAGCAGGUUAAUACCCCGCUGUUCUGACGGUACCCAAAGAAUAAGCACCGGCUAACUUCGUG